UACGUAGGGGGCUAGCGUUGUCCGGAAUCAUUGGGCGUAAAGAGCGUGUAGGCGGCCCGGUAAGUCCGCUGUGAAAGUCGGGGGCUCAACCCUCGAAUGCCGGCGGAUACUGUCGGGCUAGAGUGCGGAAGAGGCGAGUGGAAUUCCUGGUGUAGCGGUGAAAUGCGCAGAUAUCAGGAGGAACACCGGUGGCGAAGGCGGGUCUCUGGGCAAUAACUGACGCUGAGGAGCGAAAGCGUGGGGAGCGAACAGG
This 253-nucleotide ribosomal RNA is filed under the name uncultured bacterium. RNAcentral's name for it is "partial 16S ribosomal RNA". It matches the Rfam family "Bacterial small subunit ribosomal RNA", at positions 524 to 776 of the family's 1533-position model. The record is from RNAcentral.